GGGACGGCCAACAGACAGAAACUGCUGCGGAAGCUCCCAAACGUUCUCCAAGCUCCAACCCCUUUCACUCCCUACCUCCUGGCCACAUGACACCCGCUCCCUCUUCCCACCAGCCAAGGAUCUCGGAGGAUCCGUUCCUGGGUUGCCCACCAGGUCACCCAUCCCAUGCCUGACUGCUUCCCUGGCAGCCUCGCUCCCACUUCUCUCGCUAAAUUCAGACUACUCCUGUGAAACCUCCUGGCACCUUCGCUAAAUAAAACUAAUUCCGAGGUCACCUUCGGAAGCUGAGUGGCAUCUUUGUUUUAUAAAGACACCCCCCGUCCCGUCAGGCUGGGACGCACACUGGGGCCGAUGGGGCUGUCCCCAGGGGACACUCACGGUGCCCUCUGGCCUUGCUUUGCAGCAGCAACCAAGAGCCAGCAGUGGUGCGCGUGACUUGGGGGACGGGACACCCCCGUGUCCCAUAUCCCCCAGCGUCUCUUGGUCCCAUCAGGACCCCACCGCCCCUCCUGAUCCCGCUGCCCUACAGGUCCUCAGCACGGACCCCUCCCAGCCCAAGUGCACCAACGGUGAGUGCCAGCCCUUGGGAACACCGCCGCCGUCCCCAUCGGACGGUGCCGCCGUUCCUUUUGGGUCCUUGUCCUCGCUGCUGGCCGCUUGCGAUGUCGCCAGCCGCACACAGCCUCUGUCCCAGACAGGACCUGCUGCCAUCAGUGUUGUCCUCAGGUGCCAUCUGACCACCCUGGUACCUAUUCCCAGCAUCACUCCCCCCAUGCAGUGGCCCCGCGUGCCCCACCCAAUCCCACCGGUGCUACUGCCACGAUCCCCGUCCUCACCCAGUCCCACUGCUGCCACUGAGGGGCGGGGGGCUGGCUCUCCACAUCUGAGUGAUAGGAGGAUGGAAUCACUGCAAGGUUGGCACUGAAAGGACCUUACAGAUCACAGAACACGUAAUGCACAAACAAACGGCUUGCAUGGGAUAGAUAGCAUCAGAAACCAUAAAAUCAAAUUGUGGUGGUGGUGGAAGGAACCUCACAGCCCGCCCAGCCCCACUCCUGCCACGCGCUGCCUGCCCCUCUCUCUCCGGCUGCGUAAGUCCCCCCCCACGGCUUUGGGCACCUCCGUGAAUGGGGCACCCAUGGUGGAAUCGGGCAGAAACACAGGCCUUAAUUCCCUGCCCGACCAAGGGGCUCUCAGGGUCAGUGACAAGGUGGUUGGGAUGGCUGUGGCACUGAGGUGUCAGCACGGAGGAGCUCUGUCACCCGGCUGGGACUGAGCAGUGUGGGCUGCAGUUCAGCUCAGGUGCCCUCCUGAGCGGAUUCACCCACUUCCAGCACGCUCAACCCCGCGUCGGACCUUUGGCUUCACGGCUUGAGCAAUAUGCCGGGGCUGAGGGGAGACCGCUGAGGGGGCA
This 1414-nucleotide long non-coding RNA is filed under the name Gallus gallus (chicken). RNAcentral describes it as "lncRNA (ENSGALG00010028815.1)". The record is from RNAcentral. Lineage: Eukaryota; Metazoa; Chordata; Aves; Galliformes; Phasianidae.